RNAcentral lists this ribosomal RNA (406 nucleotides) under uncultured bacterium. RNAcentral describes it as "partial 16S ribosomal RNA". It matches the Rfam family "Bacterial small subunit ribosomal RNA", at positions 30 to 526 of the family's 1533-position model. The record is from RNAcentral.
AUUGAACGCUGGCGGCAGGCUUAACACACGCAAGUCGCGCGAGCGGCGGACGGGUGAGUCAUGUCUGGGAAACUGCCUGAUGGAGGUUGAUAACUUCUGUUAACGGUAGCUCAUACCGCAUACCAUCAGUUGUUCCCAGAUUGGUUUAGCUAGUAGGUGGGGUAAUGGCGCACCUAGGCGCCGAUCCCUAGCUGGUCUGAGAGGAUGACCAGCCACACUGGAACGGAGCAACGGUGCAGACGCGUACGGGAGGCAGCAGUGGGGAAUAUUGCACAAUGGGCGCAAGCCUGAUGCAGCCAUGAAGCGUGUGGGAAGAAGGCCUGCGGGCUGUAAAGCACUUUCAGCGAGGAGGCGUUACUCGCAGAAGAAGCACCGGCUAACUCCGUGCCAGCCGCCGCGGUAAUAC